ACGUAGGUGGCAAGCGUUGUCCGGAUUUAUUGGGUUUAAAGGGUGCGUAGGCGGUUUUCUAAGUCAGCAGUGAAAUACGGCAGCUCAACUGUCGAGGUGCUGUUGAUACUGGGGAACUUGAGUACUGAUGAGGUAGGCGGAAUGGACGGUGUAGCGGUGAAAUGCUUAGAGAUCGUCCAGAACACCGAUAGCGAAGGCAGCUUACUAAGGAGUAACUGACGCUGAGGCACGAAAGUGUGGGGAGCAAACAGGA
RNAcentral lists this ribosomal RNA (253 nucleotides) under uncultured prokaryote. RNAcentral's name for it is "partial 16S ribosomal RNA". It matches the Rfam family "Bacterial small subunit ribosomal RNA", at positions 525 to 777 of the family's 1533-position model. The record is from RNAcentral.